This 275-nucleotide unclassified non-coding RNA is filed under the name Meripilus pouzarii. Its description in RNAcentral is "Physisporinus pouzarii partial internal transcribed spacer region". The stretch from base 1 to 46 matches the Rfam family "Eukaryotic small subunit ribosomal RNA", at positions 1786 to 1831 of the family's 1831-position model. RNAcentral also lists the same sequence under 1 other name. Lineage: Eukaryota; Fungi; Basidiomycota; Agaricomycetes; Polyporales; Meripilaceae. The record is from RNAcentral.
AAGUCGUAACAAGGUUUCCGUAGGUGAACCUGCGGAAGGAUCAUUAUUGAAUUCCAACUGGGUGAGAUUGCUGCUGGCUCUCGGGCAUGUGCACAUCUCAUUCAUUUACCUCUCACCUCUGUGCACUUUUCACAGGACAACAGGUGGUUGUGGGCUUUAUUGCCCAUAGCUGCAUGUUGCUUCGUGUGCUUUACAAACUCAUAAUCAAGUUUAGAAUGUUCAUUGUGUAUCCACACAUUUAAAUACAACUUUCAGCAACGGAUCUCUUGGCUCUC